Molecule: unclassified non-coding RNA, 433 nt
Filed under: soil metagenome
Description: partial contains 5.8S ribosomal RNA, internal transcribed spacer 2, and large subunit ribosomal RNA
Rfam family: 5.8S ribosomal RNA (bases 1-120)
Source: RNAcentral
GAUGAAGAACGUAGCGAAAUGCGAUACGUAAUGUGAAUUGCAGAAUUCAGUGAAUCAUCGAAUCUUUGAACGCAUAUUGCGCUCUCUGGUAUUCCGGAGAGCAUGCUUGUUUGAGUAUCAGUAAACACCUCAACUCCCUUUUCUUUUUUGAAAUGGGAGCUGGACUUGAGUGAUCCCAACACUUUUCUCACUGGAAAGUGGCGGGUCACUUGAAAUGCAGGUGCAGCUGUACUUUUCUCUGAGCUAUAAGCAUAUCUAUUUAGUCUGCCUAAAAAACAGAUUAUUACCUUUGCUGCAGCUAACAUAAAGGAGAUGAGUUCUUGUGCUGACUGAUGCAGGAUUCACAGAGACAGCUUUGCGGCUGACUUUGUAAACUCGAUCUCAAAUCAAGUAAGACUACCCGCUGAACUUAAGCAUAUCAAUAAGCGGAGGA